GCCCUUCCUACGGGAGGCAGCAGUGGGGAAUUUUCCGCAAUGGGCGAAAGCCUGACGGAGCAAUACCGCGUGAGGGAUGACGGCCUAUGGGUUGUAAACCUCUUUUUUCAGGGAGGAAAAAAAUGACGUUACCUGAAGAAUAAGCAUCGGCUAACUCCGUGCCAGCAGCCGCGGUAAUAAGGGC
Molecule: ribosomal RNA, 184 nt
Filed under: uncultured cyanobacterium
Lineage: Bacteria; Bacillati; Cyanobacteriota
Description: partial 16S ribosomal RNA
Rfam family: Bacterial small subunit ribosomal RNA
Source: RNAcentral